Acromyrmex echinatior (Panamanian leafcutter ant) is the source of this 590-nucleotide long non-coding RNA. The record is from RefSeq and is a predicted model, not a curated record. Lineage: Eukaryota; Metazoa; Arthropoda; Insecta; Hymenoptera; Formicidae.
GCUCCUAUGUGCAAUAAAUCAGUAUAUGCAGCAUUGAUUGUGCAUAGUCAGUUGAUUUUGCUAUGGAAAUAACGUGCAAGUACGGUGCUUCAUAUAAAUUGAAAAUGGAUAAAAUGUGCAACUAUGAAACUUGUGAAUAUAAAUUUGAAGUAACCUGUAAAUGCGGUACUUCUUAUGAACUCAUGACAAAAAAAGAAUGCCGAUAAUAAUUUACAAGUACUCUGGAACUCAAUUUCGAACUUGUACUCGAGAUCCAAUGGAAUUUUCUCGAAUAUUAGAAGUUUUUAGUCGAGGAAAUUCUUUUGAAAUAUUACCAAAACUGACGAUGGAAUUUGCAAGGAUUGAGGUAGAUAGGCGGAAAUUUAGUAUGAAUUGAGAAGUAAUGGUAUUAUAGAAAUCUAAUAUUGACUAAUAUUGAAAGACAAUAAUUAAUUACUUAUUUUAACAAUAAGUAUGAAAAGCAUUGUUGUUCAGUACUCUUACAAUUAGUAUUUCAAAUAAGUACUAAUAAUUAAUUAUAUAUUAUAAUAAUUAAUUAUAUAUUACUGUACUUCAUAUCACUGUAAUAAAUUGGCUAGCAUAUACAUAUA